GACAGAGGGAAAACGACAGGCCUUGCCAGGAGGAGAGGGGACGGCAGGAUUCGGCAGGUUCUGGCCGGUGUCACGCCAAAUUUGUGCCCAGCGAAAUAAGUGCUCAGGGAGGGUGUGCGCAUGCAAGCACCUGCGCAGUCCAGUGCGCCAGGCAGUUUUUUGGCAGGGCGGGGUCAUUGACAAACCAACGUGUGUGCAGCGAGAGAGAGAGACCAUCCUAGUAGUGAUUUAGCGAGACUCUGAAGAUUUGGUUAGAGUUAGGGUUAGGGUUACGGUUUUUCUUUUAGCUAACAAUAUCAGCAAAUCCAAGUUUAACUAAUGAGUAUACCUCGUAUGCACUUUCACUGAGGCCACAGGGGCAAUUAUUUGGCAAGCCGUCCCAUACACACUGUAUACAAUAGGGUGGGCAUAUAUUUCGCACAUAAGGCGCUAAAUAUAUGCCCCGACACGCUUGGGCACUCAUUUCGCAGCGAGCACUUAUUUCGCUUUACACCGGGACGGAGAAGAAUCUACAGGCUUUGCCGAGAGCGACCGGGUAGACGCACGCAGGCUGGAAAGGAACCCCCCGGACUACACAGUAGACCCCGCAGGCUACCGGAACGAACCCCAAGACGUCCACAACAGGCAGGGGCAGAGGAAACUUUGCCUCCCAAGUAAAUGCCGUGUAUUGUGGAUCUGUGGGGACAUCCAACUGCCUUGGGCUGUGGGCUUGCGGGCUCGUGCGUUGUACGCUGGCUGUGUGGUUCUGUGGACAGGGGGGCGAUUGGGACCCAGAGACCUGCGGCGACCCCCGGAAGCGGCCGAGAGGCGGAGCGGGACGGGUACGGCCACGUAGGUCCCGCGAGUGACCGGAGACUGACGAGGAGAGUGGGCGUACCCAAUACGUUGACGCAGAACUACAGCAAAGCCCUGCCUUGCGUGAGGACGCCAUGGAAGUGGGCGGAGCCAAGACAUGGACCCACAUGCCUGCCUGUACCCUCGCCCAUCACAUUCGUUACCAUUUUGGUAUUUUAGUCUCGACAACGUGACUGGUUUUAAUUGUAUUUUAACAAAUUGUGAAUCAGUAUAAUCAUCUUUCCUUAUUUUGGGACAGCUGCUCUCACUGCAUUGGGUUCUUAAUAUUUAUAUUGGUUUUAAGCAACAUUUUUAUUAGAUUUUAAUAUUUUACCACUCGGGUCCUUCACGCACCCUUGACUAGUUGUAAGAUUAGAGCUUCUCUUUCUUUCUUUCUCUUCUUCCUUGUGUUGUGCUACGUCCAACUCUACUAACAUUUAAAACUAAAUAUAAUUUUGGGGUUACUUACAAAAACCCACGUCGGCGUUAACAUUUGUACUCAAGACAUCAAAACGAGUCAUUGCUAGCACAUUUGUGACUUUUGCAGAUGACGGAAGAGGAAUGGACGACCAUUUAGACUUUUUAUUCGAUUGUGCAAAAGAGUGCAUGUUGUUAGUUGAGAUACACUAUAUUGCCAAAAGUAUUUGGCCACCUGCCUUGACUCACAUGAACUUCAAGUGCCAUCCCAUUCCUAAUCUAUGGGGUUCAAUAUGAUGUCGGUCCACCUUUUGCAGAUAUUACAGCUUCAACUCAUCUGGGAAGGCUGUCCACAAGCCUACAUACUGUAUGUAUUUUAUGUAUUUGUACCUUGUUUUUACUGUUGUACCUUGUUUUUUCUGUUGUACCUCUUUUUUACUGUUGAACCUUGUUUUUAAUGACAACUGCUGCAAACCAAAUAUCCCCUCGGGGACAAUAAAGAUUUUUUUAAGUCCAA
Nerophis ophidion (straightnose pipefish) is the source of this 1768-nucleotide long non-coding RNA. RefSeq lists it as uncharacterized. The transcript has 2 exons. The record is from RefSeq and is a predicted model, not a curated record. NCBI's taxonomy places the organism in Eukaryota, Metazoa, Chordata, Actinopteri, Syngnathiformes, Syngnathidae.